Ziziphus jujuba (common jujube) is the source of this 320-nucleotide long non-coding RNA. RefSeq lists it as uncharacterized. The transcript is spliced from 2 exons. Lineage: Eukaryota; Viridiplantae; Streptophyta; Magnoliopsida; Rosales; Rhamnaceae. The record is from RefSeq and is a predicted model, not a curated record.
UAUCCUUCUUUACGGAGGAAUCCAGAUUUUUGGACAAUUUAACUAAAUUUUCUAUAAUUUGUUGCAGAAGUUUAGCAAAGCACACUCUCAAGGCUUUAACACUUGGAUCAUGCUCGGAUAACUCUUCAUAUAAAAAUUGUUAAACAAGAAUCUCAGCUGUACGCAUGACCUUACUAUUCACUCCUGAAAUGGAAAGAAUGAGGAUCAUCAGAAGAUUGGUGCACAUUCAUGGAGGAAACUUAUGAAAAACAUGCCAACCUAUCUUCUAAGAAAGACCUUGCUUUAGGUUUCUUCCUCAAUCAAGUUCAAGUGUGAACCAC